This 3234-nucleotide long non-coding RNA is filed under the name Sus scrofa (pig). Its description in RNAcentral is "lncRNA (ENSSSCG00040008530.1)". Lineage: Eukaryota; Metazoa; Chordata; Mammalia; Artiodactyla; Suidae. The record is from RNAcentral.
AAUUGUUCUGGAAAUUAAAUUAAAAAUCAUUCUAAUGGAUAUGACCAUUUGGGAAAAUUGUUGAGCAGCAGCUACUAAAGUUGAAUGUAUAUGUGCAUUAUGAACAUGGCUAGCUAUGCAACAAAAGUCUGUUCACAUUUCACCAAAAGAUGUGUACUAGAAUGCUCACAGAAGGCCUUUUUGAAAUAGCCCCAAAUUAGAAAGCACCCAAGUGCUUGGCAGCAAUGGAAUGAAUAAAUCAACUGGAAUACUCACACUGACUAUGUGAUAUAUAUGUGAUAUAUGUGAUAUAUUCAUCCACUGGAAUACUAUACAGCCCUCAAAAUAGAUGAGCAACAGCUGCAGAGAGUACAGAUGAAUCUUCAGAGCAUAAUGUUGAAUAAAAGAUAAACAGAGGUAAUGCACAGACCAGAGAAAGACGAUGCACUGCAUCUGUGUAUUUACAGAAACAGGCAGUGCUAACCUGUGGUGUUAGAAGUCAGGAUACUGGUUGUCCUCGGUUGAUGGUGGUGAUAAGAAUGGCUUUGGGGAGUCAUGGUAAUGAUGAUCCUGUUUCUUGAUGUGAAGUAAUGGUUACAUGGGUAUGUUUGUGAAAAUUCAAUGAGCUGUACUGUCAUGAAAUGUGCAUUUUUCUUUUGUAUAUUUUUGAUUGCAACACAAAGUUAAAAUUUAUAAAGGCAAAAACACAUAAAACCCAACCCAAGAGAAUCCCUGGCCUCACUCAGUGGAUUAAGGAUCCGGUGUUGCUGUGAGCUGUGGUGUAGGUUGCAGAGGAGGCUCAGAUCCCACGUUGCUGUGGCUGUGGUGUAGGCUGGCAGCUGUAGCUCUGAUUUGACCCCCAGCCUGGGAACUUUCAUAUGCCGUAGGUGUGGCCCUAAAAAAAAAAAUAAGCAGAAUGCAUUAGCUCAGCAUCUCUAUGAGGAGGGGGAAACUAGGUUUGGAGGCUCCGCAUCCAGGAACAUGUCGCAGAUGCUGCUGAAGUGGUCUGAUGACAUUGCUUCUAACCACUGGGCAUGUCCAUCAUCGCCUACACCGCUGAUGCUGGGUCAGGAGGCUGCAACAGAACCACUGCCUCUCCGAGCCCAUCAUCACUCCUGCUGCUGCUCUUACCCAUCCUCUCUGGAGUGGGUUUCUCAGGAUUUGUGCUACUUUGUAUUACUGCCUCAGGCUCAAAGUCAGGCAUGGGUGGGACUGAUGAGGGGAGCCUCAGCUCAUUGGUCUUGCCCUACACGUGAGGGAGGCCGGGGAAAGAAGGACUAGGCAUUUUCAGCUUCAGUAGCAGGUGUCAGGCUCCCGGGGCAUUCCCCAAGCUCAGGAGAUUGACAAAUGUCUAUAGGCAAGAUGGCCUGCUGGAUAAUGGCCAGCUGGAUCUCUUAGCUGCCAGUGACGAGCGCUUUCAGUGUGACUGUGUGCAUCUUGCUGGACCAGAUCUUGCUGGAUUUCACAAAGAGAAAUCUUUUCUUUCUUGUCACAACCCAAAAGUUCCCAGGUGGCAUGGAAGGGGACAUUCAGUCCCAGUGCCUUGAAGAGGCAGGAUGGAAGUGAAGAUACUAACUAGGAAUCUUGAAGCAAAGCUUCUCCCGGAAAUCCUAGGGCUCGGGCGGGUCCCAGAGUCAGAACAGUCAGCUCUGCAAAGAGAUAUGUUGGCAGGAUACUUGAAGGGCACCUGGUUCAGCCUUCCACCCACUGCAGGAAUUUUCUUUGUUUAUUUGGUGACAUUUCAUUGUGCCCACAUUUUCUUCUUGUUUAAAAAAUCAAUUUGUGUAUCCUCAUUCUUAUCCAUAGCGAAAAAAAAAAAAAAAAAGGCUAUUUCUUCUGGGGCCAUAACUGGGAAUAUGUCUGGCUGGGUGUUGUUUCAGGUUGAUGUGAUUGCUUCUCUGUACUUGGGUGUUUUUCUUACGACUUUCUUAGGCAAAAUCACCUACACUUACUAAGCAUCAAUUUCCUGAGCCGUACACUGAGCGUAAUAACAUUGCGGGUGAAGCAUGAGUAGCUGUUAAAUUGGUAGUAAAAACGAAUGGGUUAAUGAGCUGUACCCUGGAGAGUCUGGAGAUAAAAUGUAUUUGGAGAUAACGUAUGAAAGCACUUAGCGCUGUGAAGGGUUUGUUGUAAACAGCCAGUAAAGGAUAAUAACAAUGGUUCUUGUUGUUCUGGCUGUUUACGGAUGCAGAAUAUGUGCUCUCCUCUCAGGUACUAGGGUAAUAGAUGGGUGAAUGACCCACUGGGAGAACCCCCGCCCCUUUGCCCUAAGAAUCUUCCUCUCUUGGCCCCCCCACAACUCCCCAGCCAAAGAUCCGUUAUACCGAUGAGGAAACCUGGUGUUUGUUCCUAAACGCUCCGGUCAGAACAAAGCAGCUCAAAGAUGGAUGGCACAAGGAGUGUGCCCACGGAGCCACGCCAGGCAGGUGCCACUGAAAUCUCUGAUGGCUGCAAAGGGUGCCUUUCCAGGAGGAUCCCUCUGCAAGCUCCAUCUCACCAGAGCAACAGGAGACGGGCAGUUCUGUCGAUGCGUGUCAGUAAAUGCCGUACCCCUGUGCUCCUUUGCACCUCCAUCAUGUAAGGUCCCAUGUAUGGAAACUGCCUGAUGCCCCCUUAGCUCUGUAGUAACCGUCCUGACACUUGCACUCUGGGCAGAGCUGGGAGAAACACCCAGCUGGGUUCUCCAUCUGCAGCGCCAGCUCCGCCGGCUGGAAGGAGAAAUGGCCUCUGUCCUGGCAGCUUGCUGACCAGCCUGCUGUGCCGAAGCUGGCGGAUCCCAUGGCCCUGGGAUAAACAGGAUGGAAGGAAGGCAGGGCGCUUGAGGAGCACCGCGUGUUGCCAGCCUUCCUCUCGGUCGUGUCUCCUGUCCCCUGGCAUAUGCCUCACUCCGGGCAGCCUGAUGGGAGAGGAGCCCCCUGUUUCCAGGGACAGGACAGGAAGAUGGCUCCCUGGAAGGGAAGGCUUUGCCAGCAGCCCUGUACACCUGAGCCGGGCCCAGCAGGGAAAGCUCCAGGACUGCAAGAGGUUAAAACUUGCCCCUGUGUUUACUUUUGUUGGCUGCCACACUGCAUAAUAAUCUGUCAGCACGUCAGGUGCGGAUUUAUUUGUGUAUUAAAAAUUGCCUAGAGCGGACGGAUGCAGACGCUCUACAGCGCGCUGGAAAAUGUGCCUCCAGCACAAAAACAGCCUCUCCAAAUAUUUCACCCUUUUAAUAAGUGCAUUUAAUUAAAGUCAUAUAACUUUUUUUAUUAUAUU